Molecule: microRNA, 24 nt
Filed under: Hippoglossus hippoglossus (Atlantic halibut)
Lineage: Eukaryota; Metazoa; Chordata; Actinopteri; Pleuronectiformes; Pleuronectidae
Description: hhi-miR-7796
Source: miRBase by way of RNAcentral
AUAAUUGACAGCGGGUCUGACCCC